GCGCAUGAGCUGUCGCUGACCCUCAAAGGUGUCGUGCACGCCCAAGCGCUCUCGCACAAUCCAUCUCACCCCUCUUGUGCACCACCGCGUGGGUCCCCCCUUUCGGGAGGGCUUGCGUUUUCACAUAAAACUUGAUACGGUGUAGAAUGUCUUUUUUCAUUUGCGGUCACACGCAAUCAAUACAACUUUCAACAACGGAUCUCUUGGCUCUCGCAUCGAUGAAGAACGCAGCGAAAUGCGAUACGUAAUGUGAAUUGCAGAAUUCAGUGAAUCAUCGAAUCUUUGAACGCACCUUGCGCCCCUUGGCAUUCCGAGGGGCACACCCGUUUGAGUGUCGUGAAAUUCUCAAAACCUUUUUUUUCCCUUGAUCCAUUUUGGUCAGGGAAGAGAGGAUUUUUGGACUUGGAGGUUUUGCUGCUCGCCUUUGCUUUGAAAGCGAGCUCCUCUCAAAUGAAUCAGUGGGGUCCGCUUUGCCGAUCCUUGACGUGAUAAGAUGUUUCUACGUUUUGGACUUGGCAUCGUCCCUUGGACGCCUGCUUCCAACUGUCCACAUCAUGGACGACGAUGGUGCUUUGGUCACCGCCAUCCACAUUGGCGGAAGGCUGGGCCCACAAAACCCUUGACCUCAAAUCGGGUGAGACUACCCGCUGAACUUAAGCAU
This 661-nucleotide ribosomal RNA is filed under the name uncultured Russula. RNAcentral describes it as "eukaryotic LSU rRNA". The stretch from base 184 to 337 matches the Rfam family "5.8S ribosomal RNA". Lineage: Eukaryota; Fungi; Basidiomycota; Agaricomycetes; Russulales; Russulaceae. The record is from RNAcentral.